CUACGUGCCAGCAGCCGCGGUAAUACGGAGGGUGCGAGCGUUAAUCGGAAUAACUGGGCGUAAAGGGCACGCAGGCGGUGACUUAAGUGAGGUGUGAAAGCCCCGGGCUUAACCUGGGAAUUGCAUUUCAUACUGGGUCGCUAGAGUACUUUAGGGAGGGGUAGAAUUCCACGUGUAGCGGUGAAAUGCGUAGAGAUGUGGAGGAAUACCGAAGGCGAAGGCAGCCCCUUGGGAAUGUACUGACGCUCAUGUGCGAAAGCGUGGGUAGCAAACAGGAUUAGAUACCCUGGUAGUCCACGCCGUAAACGAUGAUUACUAGGUGUUGGGGGUCGAACCUCAGUGCCGCAGCUAACGCAUUAAGCACUCCGCCUGGGGAGUACGACCGCAAGGUUGAAACUCAAAGGAAUUGACGGGGGCCCGCACAAGCGGUGGAGCAUGUGGUUUAAUUCGAAGCAACGCGAAGAACCUUACCAGGUCUUGACAUCCCUCUGACCGCUCUAGAGAUAGAGUUUUC
This 514-nucleotide ribosomal RNA is filed under the name uncultured bacterium. RNAcentral describes it as "bacterial SSU rRNA". It matches the Rfam family "Bacterial small subunit ribosomal RNA", at positions 501 to 1016 of the family's 1533-position model. The record is from RNAcentral.